This 119-nucleotide ribosomal RNA is filed under the name Pteropus alecto (black flying fox). The record is from RNAcentral. Lineage: Eukaryota; Metazoa; Chordata; Mammalia; Chiroptera; Pteropodidae.
GUCUACGGCCAUGCCACCCUGAACAAGCCCGAUCCCGUCUGAUCUCAGAAGCUAAGCAAGGUCAGGCCUGGUUAGCACUUGGAUGGGAGACCACCUAGGAAGAUCAGGUGCUGCAGGCA